UGCCCAGCAACUCCUAUCCCUACCUCCUCGUGGUACCGGCCGGGAACUAUGAGCAACCUUAAGGAAGAUCGGGUAACCAACCCCAGUGGGAACUUUGUUUGUAGGCUGACAGGGAAGG
Non-coding RNA from Aedes albopictus (Asian tiger mosquito), 118 nucleotides. Lineage: Eukaryota; Metazoa; Arthropoda; Insecta; Diptera; Culicidae. The record is from Rfam.